UACAGGCUUAACACAUGCAAGUCGAGGGGCAGCAGGAUCUAGCAAUAGAUUGCUGGCGACCGGCGCACGGGUGAGUAACACGUAUCCAACCUGCCGAUAACUCGGGGAUAGCCUUUCGAAAGAAAGAUUAAUACCCGAUAGUAUAAUCAGACCGCAUGGUUUGAUUAUUAAAGAAUUUCGGUUAUCGAUGGGGAUGCGUUCCAUUAGGCAGUUGGUGAGGUAACGGCUCACCAAACCUUCGAUGGAUAGGGGUUCUGAGAGGAAGGUCCCCCACAUUGGAACUGAGACACGGUCCAAACUCCUACGGGAGGCAGCAGUGAGGAAUAUUGGUCAAUGGACGCGAGUCUGAACCAGCCAAGUAGCGUGAAGGAUGACUGCCCUAUGGGUUGUAAACUUCUUUUAUAUGGGAAUGAAGUUUUCCACGUGUGGAAUUUUGUAUGUACCAUAUGAAUAAGGAUCGGCUAACUCCGUGCCAGCAGCCGCGGUAAUACGGAGGAUCCGAGCGUUAUCCGGAUUUAUUGGGUUUAAAGGGAGCGUAGGUGGACAGUUAAGUCAGUUGUGAAAGUUUGCGGCUCAACCGUAAAAUUGCAGUUGAUACUGGCUGUCUUGAGUACAGUAGAGGUGGGCGGAAUUCGUGGUGUAGCGGUGAAAUGCUUAGAUAUCACGAAGAACUCUGAUUGCGAAGGCAGCUCACUGGACUGCAACUGACACUGAUGCUCGAAAGUGUGGGUAUCAAACAGGAUUAGAUACCCUGGUAGUCCACACAGUAAACGAUGAAUACUCGCUGUUUGCGAUAUACAGUAAGCGGCCAAGCGAAAGCAUUAAGUAUUCCACCUGGGGAGUACGCCGGCAACGGUGAAACUCAAAGGAAUUGACGGGGGCCCGCACAAGCGGAGGAACAUGUGGUUUAAUUCGAUGAUACGCGAGGAACCUUACCCGGGCUUAAAUUGCAUUUGAAUAUAUUGGAAACAGUAUAGCCGUAAGGCAAAUGUGAAGGUGCUGCAUGGUUGUCGUCAGCUCGUGCCGUGAGGUGUCGGCUUAAGUGCCAUAACGAGCGCAACCCUUAUCUUUAGUUACUAACAGGUCAUGCUGAGGACUCUAGAGAGACUGCCGUCGUAAGAUGUGAGGAAGGUGGGGAUGACGUCAAAUCAGCACGGCCCUUACGUCCGGGGCUACACACGUGUUACAAUGGGGGGUACAGAAGGCAGCUACCUGGUGACAGGAUGCUAAUCCCAAAAGCCUCUCUCAGUUCGGAUCGAAGUCUGCAACCCGACUUCGUGAAGCUGGAUUCGCUAGUAAUCGCGCAUCCGCCAUGGCGCGGUGAAUACGUUCCCGGGCCUUGUACACACCGCCCGUCAAGCCAUGAAAGCCGGGGGUACCUGAAGUACGUAACCGCAAGGAGCGUCCUAGGGUAAAACUGGUAAUUGGGGCUAAGUCAUAA
This 1441-nucleotide ribosomal RNA is filed under the name uncultured organism. Its description in RNAcentral is "SSU rRNA". It matches the Rfam family "Bacterial small subunit ribosomal RNA". The record is from RNAcentral.